This 673-nucleotide ribosomal RNA is filed under the name Streptococcus pneumoniae. RNAcentral describes it as "bacterial SSU rRNA". It matches the Rfam family "Bacterial small subunit ribosomal RNA", at positions 115 to 776 of the family's 1533-position model. The record is from RNAcentral. Lineage: Bacteria; Bacillati; Bacillota; Bacilli; Lactobacillales; Streptococcaceae.
GCGUAGGUAACCUGCCUGGUAGCGGGGGAUAACUAUUGGAAACGAUAGCUAAUACCGCAUAAGAGUAGAUGUUGCAUGACAUUUGCUUAAAAGGUGCACUUGCAUCACUACCAGAUGGACCUGCGUUGUAUUAGCUAGUUGGUGGGGUAACGGCUCACCAAGGCGACGAUACAUAGCCGACCUGAGAGGGUGAUCGGCCACACUGGGACUGAGACACGGCCCAGACUCCUACGGGAGGCAGCAGUAGGGAAUCUUCGGCAAUGGACGGAAGUCUGACCGAGCAACGCCGCGUGAGUGAAGAAGGUUUUCGGAUCGUAAAGCUCUGUUGUAAGAGAAGAACGAGUGUGAGAGUGGAAAGUUCACACUGUGACGGUAUCUUACCAGAAAGGGACGGCUAACUACGUGCCAGCAGCCGCGGUAAUACGUAGGUCCCGAGCGUUGUCCGGAUUUAUUGGGCGUAAAGCGAGCGCAGGCGGUUAGAUAAGUCUGAAGUUAAAGGCUGUGGCUUAACCAUAGUAGGCUUUGGAAACUGUUUAACUUGAGUGCAAGAGGGGAGAGUGGAAUUCCAUGUGUAGCGGUGAAAUGCGUAGAUAUAUGGAGGAACACCGGUGGCGAAAGCGGCUCUCUGGCUUGUAACUGACGCUGAGGCUCGAAAGCGUGGGGAGCAAACAGG